This 253-nucleotide ribosomal RNA is filed under the name uncultured bacterium. Its description in RNAcentral is "partial 16S ribosomal RNA". It matches the Rfam family "Bacterial small subunit ribosomal RNA", at positions 524 to 776 of the family's 1533-position model. The record is from RNAcentral.
UACGAAGGGGGCUAGCGUUGUUCGGAAUUACUGGGCGUAAAGGGCGCGUAGGCGGCCCGCUAAGUCGAACGUGAAAUCCCCGAGCUCAACUCGGGAACUGCGUCCGAUACUGGUGGGCUUGAAUCCGGGAGAGGGAUGCGGAAUUCCAGGUGUAGCGGUGAAAUGCGUAGAUAUCUGGAGGAACACCGGUGGCGAAGGCGGCAUCCUGGACCGAGAUUGACGCUGAGGCGCGAAAGCCAGGGGAGCAAACGGG